This 346-nucleotide ribosomal RNA is filed under the name uncultured Alphaproteobacteria bacterium. RNAcentral's name for it is "bacterial SSU rRNA". It matches the Rfam family "Bacterial small subunit ribosomal RNA", at positions 1045 to 1397 of the family's 1533-position model. The record is from RNAcentral. Lineage: Bacteria; Pseudomonadati; Pseudomonadota; Alphaproteobacteria.
AUGGCUGUCGUCAGCUCGUGUCGUGAGAUGUUGGGUUAAGUCCCGCAACGAGCGCAACCCUUAUCAUUAGUUGCUACGCAAGGGCACUCUAAGGGGACUGCCGGUGAUAAGCCGCGAGGAAGGUGGGGAUGACGUCAAGUCCUCAUGGCCCUUACGGUCUGGGCUACACACGUGCUACAAUGGCGGUGACAGUGGGCAGCAAUGGCGCGAGCCGGAGCUAAUCUCUAAAAACCGUCUCAGUUCGGAUUGCACUCUGCAACUCGGGUGCAUGAAGUUGGAAUCGCUAGUAAUCGUGGAUCAGCAUGCCACGGUGAAUACGUUCCCGGGCCUUGUACACACCGCCCGU